Molecule: transfer-messenger RNA, 212 nt
Filed under: Flavobacteriaceae bacterium
Lineage: Bacteria; Pseudomonadati; Bacteroidota; Flavobacteriia; Flavobacteriales; Flavobacteriaceae
Description: partial transfer-messenger RNA
Rfam family: transfer-messenger RNA
About the family: Bacterial tmRNA, also known as 10Sa RNA or SsrA, is named for its dual tRNA and mRNA-like properties. Its role is to liberate the mRNA from a stalled ribosome.
Source: RNAcentral
GGGGCCGACUGGAUUUGACAGCGAUCUAGUAGUGUUAGUAAGCAAACCGAGCGAUUAGUUAUAGCUCGUUAAUAUCAACUAAAAACUUUAAAUGGCGAAAAUAAAUACGCUCUUGCUGCAUAAGACUGAAUUAUAGUAGGUUUUUGCCACGUCCUACCAGGUAGGAAAGCGAGAUGUCUCAAAGUUAUUUUUGUUGACAAUAAUUUUAUAUG